This 465-nucleotide ribosomal RNA is filed under the name Vreelandella stevensii. RNAcentral describes it as "partial 16S ribosomal RNA". It matches the Rfam family "Bacterial small subunit ribosomal RNA", at positions 338 to 795 of the family's 1533-position model. Lineage: Bacteria; Pseudomonadati; Pseudomonadota; Gammaproteobacteria; Oceanospirillales; Halomonadaceae. The record is from RNAcentral.
CCUACGGGUGGCUGCAGUGGGGAAUAUUGGACAAUGGGGGCAACCCUGAUCCAGCCAUGCCGCGUGUGUGAAGAAGGCCCUCGGGUUGUAAAGCACUUUCAGUGAGGAAGAACGCCUGGUGGUUAAUACCCAUCAGGAAAGACAUCACUCACAGAAGAAGCACCGGCUAACUCCGUGCCAGCAGCCGCGGUAAUACGGAGGGUGCGAGCGUUAAUCGGAAUUACUGGGCGUAAAGCGCGCGUAGGUGGCUUGAUAAGCCGGUUGUGAAAGCCCCGGGAUCAACCUGGGAACGGCAUCCGGAACUGUCAAGCUAGAGUGCAGGAGAGGAAGGUAGAAUUCCCGGUGUAGCGGUGAAAUGCGUAGAGAUCGGGAGGAAUACCAGUGGCGAAGGCGGCCUUCUGGACUGACACUGACACUGAGGUGCGAAAGCGUGGGUAGCAAACAGGAUUAGAUACCCUGGUAGUC